Molecule: transfer RNA, 85 nt
Filed under: Lysobacteraceae bacterium
Lineage: Bacteria; Pseudomonadati; Pseudomonadota; Gammaproteobacteria; Lysobacterales; Lysobacteraceae
Description: tRNA-Ser
Source: RNAcentral
GGCCAGUUUACGGGAAGUUGCGAGAAGUGUCAAAAAGGGACUGAAAAUCCCCGUGUCGGCGGUUCGAUUCCGUCCCUGGCCACCA